UACGUAGGGUGCGAGCGUUGUCCGGAAUUACUGGGCGUAAAGAGCUCGUAGGUGGUUUGUCGCGUUGUUCGUGAAAACUCACAGCUUAACUGUGGGCGUGCGGGCGAUACGGGCAGACUGGAGUACUGCAGGGGAGACUGGAAUUCCUGGUGUAGCGGUGGAAAUGCGCAGAUAUCAGGAGGAACACCAGUGGCGAAGGCGGCU
RNAcentral lists this ribosomal RNA (204 nucleotides) under uncultured bacterium. RNAcentral's name for it is "partial 16S ribosomal RNA". It matches the Rfam family "Bacterial small subunit ribosomal RNA", at positions 524 to 726 of the family's 1533-position model. The record is from RNAcentral.